UCUGUCAGAUCCUGAGGCGUGGACAAAGCCGCGUUCCCACUUCUUAACUGGGCGAUACAGAUAUCACUUAGCAGCCUGGAGGCGGGACUUCGUGCUCCCGCCGAGCUGUGAUAGGCCCGCUCGUGAGCGCAAGAGCGCGGAAAGAACGUGCUAGGAGCAGUUUGGUUGACGGCGGAGGAGUGACGUGUCGGUCUGCGGACCGCGAAGGCUUCGCUGGGGAAGGUGUUGCCGGUUUGUCCCAGUCACGUGACCAGAAGCGGAAACCACGCGGAGGAAUAAGCCGAAACUACAAAUCCCAAAAAGCGGGGACUUGAGAUCUGUCAUCUCCGCUUAUGAUUUUUUUUUUAAGGCAGAAAUUGACCAUUACCUAAAUAAGAAAACUGAAGGAACCUGAAAGAAUUACAGAACUUCAGCUUACUUCGUAGGAAUCAGGCCAUUUCUGUGGAGCUUGUGUCUUUCCUGAAAUGUCUACUUCCAUCAUUGAUCAAAAGAAACACAUGCCUUCACCUCAUCUGGAGCACCCCAAAGUCUUCAUCUGGCAUUCCCUCUGCUCCCUCUACACCUGUACUUUUCUCCUGGCUGAGUCCUCAUUCAUCACCUCCUCUGUGGAACCCUCCCCAGCCACCUCCCUGCUCCUCCUUCGAGCUCCUGGAGCAUUCUGAAUUUCCCUUAUCAAAGAAUUUAUUGUGUUAAAUUGUAA
Equus caballus (horse) is the source of this 700-nucleotide long non-coding RNA. RefSeq lists it as uncharacterized. The record is from RefSeq and is a predicted model, not a curated record. Lineage: Eukaryota; Metazoa; Chordata; Mammalia; Perissodactyla; Equidae.